This is a non-coding RNA of Vicugna pacos (alpaca), 935 nucleotides long. NCBI's taxonomy places the organism in Eukaryota, Metazoa, Chordata, Mammalia, Artiodactyla, Camelidae. The record is from RefSeq and is a predicted model, not a curated record.
GGCGAGCUCCGAGGGGCGGGUGGAAGCACCGGCUGCCUCUACUCGAGGAGAGGUGCAUAUUUCGGGAGGCGAGCGUGCUAAGGGGCGCGGAGCCACAAUGGACCUGGGAGUCCCCACUGCAUUCCCGGGAGCUCCCAAGGACCCACCGGUGGAGGGGCGCCUGGGAGCCCUUGGGAGACGCCGAGAGGCGGGAUAGGGUCCCUGCGCAGCAAAUGAGAGAGGAACCACAACGUCCUGGAGUAGAGGAGGUGGAGGCGAGCACGCACAUUGCUGGUCCUGCUGGUGCUGCUGGUCUGUGAAACACACUGAAUAACACUGCUCCAAACUACACAGCCUAGUAAGGUGACCAAAGUUUGGGAAGAGUAGAGUUCAGGCAAACAAGAAAGAAGGUUCCAAAUAUCAGGACAAAUCAAACUGAAUUUCCUCACUGUCAAUCUCUGUAACCACAGAACAGUCUUCUACCUGAAGAAUCUACUUUGUGGAUGGAUUCCCUCAGGUUUGCUGAACUGGAGGACAAUUUCAAAUACUGAAAGCAUAUUUCCUCUUUUUUGUUAUUUGUAAUGUGAUGACUUCUUUUAAGUUUAAUUUGUAUUAUUGAUAUUUUUCCAGAUUUAUUGAUAUAUUGUUGACAUGUAAUGCUGUGUCAGUUUGAGGUGUACAAUAUUAUAAUUCGAUAUACUUAUAUAUUGAGAAGUGAUUACCACAAUUAGGUUGUUAACACAUCCUUCCCCUCCUAGAAUUAUCAUUUGUUGUUGCUGUGAUGAGAACAUUUAAGAUCUACUCUCUUAGUAACUUUCAACUAUACAACACAGUGUUGUUAACAGUUGUCACCAUGCUGUACAUCAGAUCCCCAGAACUUAUUCCUCUUAUAACUAGAAGUUUGCAUUCUUUGACCAAUAUCUCCUCAUUUCUCCCACCCCCUAGCUCCUGGCAAU